CCUACAUUUAUUUUUACAUUUUGUUUUCAUUUACCACAAUCUGAUGUUUAGGGAAUUUCAGCAAUCACAGUUCACGUGGACGUCUUAUAUUUGCGCUAGUCUUUCCAAACAUAUUGCAAGAUUUCAGAAUGCUGCUUAUAUGAAUAUUGUUACUUCAUUGGUGCAACCCAGCUUGGAGACACCUCUAAUACCAUCAUAAAAACCAGUACUCAUGGCAAGGUCUUCAGGUCCACCUGGUAUAUCUCCAGCCAAACACUCAGUGGAGAGGAAACUUGGUCUCCCAAUUAAUACACAUAGGGUCAACCUUUUUAGAACAAUUGCUGCUUAGAUUUUAUUCUAUCCACGACUUCCUUCGCUCUCUAACACUAUAUCGGAUCACAAUGCCAUGAAAAGCAUUGUGAGCACCAUGGCGUGAUAGGUGGAGUGCAUGGGAUCAGGCAUAUUCAGGUGGGACUUACGUGCCUUGUCCCUCCUUAUAUCGUGCUACUUCAUGUUGUACCCUAUGGGGAAUGUGACUCGAAUCAUAAUCUCUAAACCUCAGACUCGCUCUCUGCUGUUUUAUGAAUAUAGUUUGCUAAUCCCUUAAUAAGUCUUGCCAACAGUUUCAUGGUAGAUGUAGUUCACAAAGAUCUUAGAUGCCAAGGCUAGCUGUGACUAGAAUAGACUAUACCGACGUGUUCAGAAUUAGCCGAGGAAGACGCUCUGAGAGCUGUAGAGCUGAUGGAGGAAGCAUUCAGGCAAGAGAUUAGUUAAAUGGAAGUGUAAAGGGCAUGGAUGCAUUUUUGAGAGAAGAUCUGUAUUCGGCGGAGGUCGCUUAGAAUAUUCCUGGACGCACAAGCUUUGAAAGAAAGCUCAGUCAUCCUUCAAAUCCAUUAUCCCUGCGUAUGUGGUUAUAGCAGAGGUCAGCUACCUUCUACUCUCUAGAUUAAAAUGGACUACAAAUCCCAUGAUGCUAUGCUGGAGGGUCAUCAGAGGUCUUGUUUGCUUAUUAAGUAUUGCAUACUUUAAUUCAACAUAAUGGAGCUGAGAAAUUAAAAAUCUAUCCAAAUCAACAAUGCAUCCAUUGCAGUUAUUUCGGAGUACAUUUUAAACCACACAGUAUUAUUAACUAAGGUGGGAACGGUUAGGAAUUCAAAGUGAUUUUCAAAUUUUGUCCAAAAUAGCCCAAUUAAAAA
Pelobates cultripes (western spadefoot toad) is the source of this 1175-nucleotide non-coding RNA. The record is from the annotation of a GenBank genome assembly. NCBI's taxonomy places the organism in Eukaryota, Metazoa, Chordata, Amphibia, Anura, Pelobatidae.